CCUACGAGUGGCAGCAGUGAGGAAUAUUGGUCAAUGGACGAGAGUCUGAACCAGCCAAGUAGCGUGAAGGAUGACUGCCCUAUGGGUUGUAAACUUCUUUUAUAUGGGAAUAAAAUGGUCCACGGGUGGGAUUUUGGAUGUACCAUAUGAAUAAGGAUCGGCGAACUCCGUGCCAGCAGCCGCGGUAAUACGGAGGAUCCGAGCGUUAUCCGGAUUUAUUGGGUUUAAAGGGAGCGUAGGUGGAUUGUUAAGUCAGUUGUGAAAGGUUGCGGCUCAACCGUACAAUUGCAGUUGAAACUGGCAGUCUUGAGUACAGUAGAGGUGGGCGGAAUUCGUUGUGUAGCGGUUACAUGCUUCGAUAUCACGAAGAACUCCGAUUGCGAAGGCAGUUCACUGGACUGCAACUGACACUGAGGCUCGAACGUGUGGGUAUCAAACCGGAUUAGCUACCCGAGUAGUC
This 460-nucleotide ribosomal RNA is filed under the name uncultured bacterium. Its description in RNAcentral is "partial 16S ribosomal RNA". It matches the Rfam family "Bacterial small subunit ribosomal RNA", at positions 338 to 795 of the family's 1533-position model. The record is from RNAcentral.